GCUCAGUUGCGAGAGCGUCAGAAUGAAGAUCUGGAGGUUGCGUGUUUGAUCCACGC
Non-coding RNA from Picea glauca (white spruce), 56 nucleotides. The record is from Rfam. NCBI's taxonomy places the organism in Eukaryota, Viridiplantae, Streptophyta, Pinopsida, Pinales, Pinaceae.